RNAcentral lists this transfer RNA (67 nucleotides) under Thryssa vitrirostris (orangemouth anchovy). RNAcentral's name for it is "tRNA-Ser". Lineage: Eukaryota; Metazoa; Chordata; Actinopteri; Clupeiformes; Engraulidae. RNAcentral also lists the same sequence under 1 other name. The record is from RNAcentral.
GAGAGAGGCCUGUGGCACUAGAGACUGCUAAUCUCUCCCCCCACAGUUAAAAUCUGUGGCUCACUCG